AUACGGAGGAUGCGAGCGUUAUCCGGAUUUAUUGGGUUUAAAGGGUGCGUAGGCUGUUUUUCAAGUCAGGGGUGAAAUGCCGGGGCUCAACUCCGGAGCUGCCUUUGAUACUGGGAGGCUGGAAUACUGUUGCCGUGGGAGGAAUGAGUAGUGUAGCGGUGAAAUGCAUAGAUAUUACUCAGAACACCGAUUGCGAAGGCAUCUCACGAAGCAGUGAUUGACGCUGAGGCACGAAAGCGUGGGGAUCAAACAGGAUUAGAUACCCUGGUAGUCCACGCAGUAAACGAUGAUAACUAACCGUUGGCGAUAGACAGCCAGUGGCCAAGCGAAAGCGAUAAGUUAUCCACCUGGGGAGUACGACCGCAAGGUUGAAACUUAAAGGAAUUGGCGGGG
RNAcentral lists this ribosomal RNA (393 nucleotides) under uncultured bacterium. RNAcentral's name for it is "partial 16S ribosomal RNA". It matches the Rfam family "Bacterial small subunit ribosomal RNA", at positions 523 to 918 of the family's 1533-position model. The record is from RNAcentral.